Molecule: transfer RNA, 68 nt
Filed under: Brugia malayi
Lineage: Eukaryota; Metazoa; Nematoda; Chromadorea; Rhabditida; Onchocercidae
Description: tRNA-Lys
Source: RNAcentral
UGAUGCGUAGCUCAGCCGGUAGAGCAGCUGGCUUUUAAUCAGUAGGUGAAACGCUCGAUUCUCGGCAG